CAAAGGUUUGGUCCUGGCCUUGCUCUCAACUUUUACUAAACUUACACAUGCAAGUAUCCGCGCCCCCGUGAGAAUGCCCUACAGUUCCCCGUCCGGGAACAAGGAGCUGGUAUCAGGCUCGACACCUUCAGCCCACAACACCUUGCUCAGCCACACCCCCAAGGGAUUGCAGCAGUGAUAAACAUUAAGCUAUGAGUGAAAACUUGACUUAGUUAAAGAUAAUCCUGGGCCGGUCAAAACUCGUGCCAGCCACCGCGGUUAAACGUGAUUAUGGCCCAAGUUGACAGCCUACGGCGUAAAGGGUGGUUAAGGAAAAAAACAAAACUAAAGCUAAAUGCCCCCCCGGCUGUUAUACGCUCUCGGGGGUAAGAAAAUCAACAACGAAAGUGGCUUUACCCCCCCCCCCGAUUCCACGAAAGUUAUGGUACAAACUGGGAUUAAAUACCCCAUUAUGCCUAACCCUAAACAUUGAUAGUAAGUCACACCCACUAUCCGCCUGGGUACUACAAGCACCAGCUUCAAACCCAAAGGACUUGGCGGUGCUUCAGAUCCCCCUAGAGGAGCCUGUUCUAGAACCGAUGAUCCCCGUUAAACCUCACCUCUUCUUGUUCCUAUCCCGCCUAUAUAUCUCCGUCGCCAGCUUACCCUGUGAAGGCUCAUAAAGUAAGUCAAACCGGUGAAAAUUCACCCCCAACGUCAGGUCGAGAUGUAGCUCAUGAAGAGGGAAAAAAUGGGCUACAUUCCCUGGUUACAGGGCAUACAGAUGACAGACUGAAAUUUCUGUUUGAAGGUGGAUUUAGUAGUAAGCAGGAAAUAGAGUGUUCUGCUGAAACCGGCCCUGAAGCGCGCACACACCGCCCGUCACUCUCCCCAUGCAUAAACUUCCAAAACAUAAUUAAUUUGCUAGACUUGCACAAGGGGAGGCAAGUCGUAACAUGGUAAGUGUACCGGAAGGUGCACUUGGCUAAUCUGAGUCUAACCACAAUUAAAGAUUACUUCUCCUUUGUUCUUACCAAUCUGCUUGUAAAAAUUGUCCUGCACAAAAUAUCCGCGCAACCCGGACCGGCCCGCCAUACACAGCCCAUCCUCGAGAUAAUCAAACAAAUUACUUCUACUAGC
RNAcentral lists this non-coding RNA (1119 nucleotides) under Paracirrhites arcatus (arc-eye hawkfish). RNAcentral describes it as "12S rRNA". The stretch from base 1 to 976 matches the Rfam family "Bacterial small subunit ribosomal RNA". Lineage: Eukaryota; Metazoa; Chordata; Actinopteri; Centrarchiformes; Cirrhitidae. The record is from RNAcentral.